Molecule: ribosomal RNA, 500 nt
Filed under: uncultured bacterium
Lineage: Bacteria
Description: partial 16S ribosomal RNA
Rfam family: Bacterial small subunit ribosomal RNA
Source: RNAcentral
AUUGAACGCUGGCGGAAUGCUUUACACAUGCAAGUCGAACGGCAGCACGGACUUCGGUCUGGUGGCGAGUGGCGAACGGGUGAGUAAUGUAUCGGAACGUGCCCAGUCGUGGGGGAUAACGUAGUGAAAAUUACGCUAAUACCGCAUACGAUCUAUGGAUGAAAGCGGGGGAUCGCAAGACCUCGCGCGAUUGGAGCGGCCGAUAUCAGAUUAGGUAGUUGGUGGGGUAAAGGCCCACCAAGCCAACGAUCUGGAGCGGGUCUGAGAGGACGACCUGCCACGCUGGAACUGGGACGCGGUGCAGACUGCUACGGGAGGCAGCAGUGGGGAAUUUUGGACAAGGGGCGAAAGCCUGAUCCAGCCAUUCCGAGUGCAGGAUGAAGGCCCUCGGGUUGUAAACUGCUUUUGUACAGAACGAAAAGGUUUCUACUAAUACUAGGAGCUCAUGACGGUACUGUAAGAAUAAGCACCGGCUAACUACGUGCCAGCCGCCGCCGUAA